AAAAAAAAUGUGUAUUAAAAUUAUGCAGAUGAUUAAAACAAUUUUAACAUGAACAAGUGCAAAGAAAAAAAUUAAGACAAGAACAAGACAAGUGUAUCAAGACGAGUGCUAAAGACUCCUCUCCAUAGUCUUCAUCUUUAGGCUCUAUUCGAAGAUUUUAAUGUACAAAAAACUAAGAAAUAAGAUGUAAGAAUGUCAUUUAUGUACAUUAUCUAAAUGUUGUAUAAAUGCAGCAUCAAUUGUAGUACCAUAUGUCGGGUUGUGGAAACUGCUUGGUCAUUAUUCAUUGAAAGAUUUAAAUCUUCACGUAAAAAGUUGGCGCUUUGCAUUGUUGACAAUGCCUAGGAACUGCUAACAAUGGCGGAUUUCCGGCUUUGACGGUAACACAGCUACUACACUAGACAGCCAAAAAAAAAAUACGUAUCUAUGUGAAAUUUCAAUCCGCGUUUUUUCAUAAAUGGCUAAAUAUCUACGGCUAGUUUUCAGCAGAAUGAAUUUUCUCAUGGAUUACUACAAGUGUGCAAAA
RNAcentral lists this long non-coding RNA (526 nucleotides) under Polistes fuscatus (common paper wasp). RNAcentral describes it as "uncharacterized LOC122517212". Lineage: Eukaryota; Metazoa; Arthropoda; Insecta; Hymenoptera; Vespidae. The record is from RNAcentral.